AAGUUACUCAAGGGCAUGCGGUGGAUGCCUUGGGAGAAGUGACCGAAGAAGGACGUAGCAGACCGCGUUAGGCCUCGGGUAGGUGUCAAGCAACCUGUGAUCCGGGGAUUUCCGAAUGGAGCAAUCCUCCCGCCAAUUUAGGGCUGGUAUAUCAAAUAUCCCAACCGAUAAAUAAUUCGUUAAUUAGUCGGGUGGGCAGUAGCGAUAUACGAGCUUUAAAUUGGCGGGAACCCAUUGCUGAAUACAUAGGCGAUGUGGAGGAAACCGUGCGAACUGAAACAUCUUAGUAGCACGAGGAAAAUAGAACAAAUGUUAUUCCCUAAGUAGUGGCGAGCGAAAAGGGAGAAGUCUAAACUCUCUUGCGUGUUAAAGCCUACUGGCGUUGCGCAGGAGGGGGUUACAAGGAUAAUGCAUUUUGGGCGGUAGACCAAAUGAGGAGUUACAAAUGAUUUUCUUAGCUAAAGGUCCCUGGAAAGGGCAACCAAAGAGGGUGAUAGUCCGAUAGUGAACAAGUACCGUGAGGGAAAGGUGAAAAGUCCCCCGGCGAGGGGAGUGAAAUAGUACCUGAAACCGAAUGCCCAUCUAAAAGUCGGAGCCCCGCCAUUUUAGCGCUGGUGUCGACGCUAUAUGAUGUAGACAUGCACUAUGUCUAUGUCUUACUCAAUCUAAAAACCCAUAAACCAUACAUUGGCCAGACCAAAAGCCUGCGCCAGAGGUUUUCAGCCCAUCAAGGGCAUGGCAGUUUUAACCUCGUAUAUUAUGAAGCCUAUCGUGACCCCCACGCGGCUUACAAACGAGAAAAACUGCUGAAAAAUUAUGGAACAACUUGGACUAGGUUGAAACAGCGUUUAGAUACGAGCUUUAAAAUGGCGGGGUGACGGCGUGCCUUUUGUAGAAUGAGCCAACGAGUUAAUUUCUGUUGCAAGGCUAAGAACUUAUCGUUCGCAGCCGAAGCGAAAGCAAGUGCGAAUAGCGCGAUUGAAGUAGCAGGGAUUAGACCCGAAACCGGGUGACCUAACCAUGGUCAGGCUGAAGCUGCCGUAAAAAGCAGUGGAGGGCCGCACCCACCUACGUUGAAAAGUGGGGGGAUGAACUGUGGUUAGCGGAGAAAUUCCAAUCGAACCCGGAGAUAGCUGGUUCUCCCCGAAAUAUAUUUAGGUAUAGCCUCAGAGCGUUCCCGGCAGUGGUAGAGCUACUGAAUGGAUUCGGGCGGUUUACCGUACCGCGUCCAAUUAAACUCCGAAUACUGUCCGGUUAAGCCCGGGAGUCAGAAAACGGCGGCUAAGCGUCGUAUGUCGAAAGGGAAACAGCCCAGACCGCCAUCUAAGGUCCCUAAAUUCAGCUAAGUGUGAAAGGAAGUGGAGACACAUGAACAACCAGGAGGUUGGCUUAGAAGCAGCCAUCCUUCAAAGAAAGCGUAACAGCUCACUGGUCGAUGAGCCGAGGCCGCAAGGCGUAGGCGAUGGACAACAGGUUAAUAUUCCUGUACUGCUUAAUGUUCGCCCAAGACAAGCAAACUGGUAGGCCAGAUGAUCGUCCCGCCAAUUUAGGGCUGGUAUCUUGGUAGUUUCUUAAUCGUUUUACGUUUAUAUGUAAUUGGUCGAGAGAUAACCAUAGGUACAAGCGUUAAAUUGGCGGGAUGGAUGCUGGUUCUGCUGGUCUGCACGUCUAGCAAUGGGGUGACGCAAGUUGGUAGGCCGAGCUGAGUUGUAAUGGAAAGUUGAGUCUUUCGGGACAAGGCGAUUUGGCUGAUCUAAGUUGACCAGAAAAACCUCUAGCGAGAACAUUGAGCAUCCGUACCUAAACCGACACAGGUGGAUAGGGCGAGUAGCCUAAGGCGCACGAGAGAACCCUCUUUAAGGAACUCGGCAAAAUAGCGUCCGUAACUUCGGAAUAAGGACUGCCCCCCACUUUCUGCGCAUAGCGCUCAUGCGCUAAGCAACGCAAGUUGGUGCGUAGAAAGUGGGGGGCCGCAGCUAAAGACAUCAGGCGACUGUUUAGCAAAAACACAGGUCUCUGCUAACUCGAAAGAGGAGGUAUAGGGGCUGACGCUUGCCCGGUGCCAGAAGGUCACGUAG
RNAcentral lists this ribosomal RNA (2078 nucleotides) under candidate division Kazan bacterium GW2011_GWB1_52_7. RNAcentral describes it as "partial 23S ribosomal RNA". It matches the Rfam family "Bacterial large subunit ribosomal RNA", at positions 1 to 1884 of the family's 2925-position model. The record is from RNAcentral.